This 274-nucleotide ribosomal RNA is filed under the name uncultured Lachnospiraceae bacterium. RNAcentral's name for it is "partial 16S ribosomal RNA". It matches the Rfam family "Bacterial small subunit ribosomal RNA", at positions 72 to 339 of the family's 1533-position model. The record is from RNAcentral. Lineage: Bacteria; Bacillati; Bacillota; Clostridia; Lachnospirales; Lachnospiraceae.
AUUUCUUCGGAAUGAAGUUUUAGUGACUGAGUGGCGGACGGGUGAGUAACGCGUGGGUGACCUGCCCCAUACCGGGGGAUAACAGCUGGAAACGGCUGCUAAUACCGCAUAAGCGCACAGAGCUGCAUGGCUCGGUGUGAAAAACUCCGGUGGUAUGAGAUGGACCCGCGUCUGAUUAGCCAGUUGGCAGGGUAACGGCCUACCAAAGCGACGAUCAGUAGCCGACCUGAGAGGGUGACCGGCCACAUUGGGACUGAGACACGGCCCAAACUCC